Chelonia mydas (Green sea turtle) is the source of this 1443-nucleotide long non-coding RNA. RefSeq lists it as uncharacterized. The transcript has 2 exons. The record is from RefSeq and is a predicted model, not a curated record. Lineage: Eukaryota; Metazoa; Chordata; Testudines; Cheloniidae.
ACUAACAUAAUAGUGUGAUAAAUUGAAGAAGAGGGUGUACAGUUUAAACAUUUGGUGGUGGUUCUGCUAGAGCCAUUAUGAUGGGCUAGCAAUGGAAGUUUUCCUCAUUAAGUGAGGUAUUUUUUUUUCCAAUCUAUCCUAUCUCAUGUACUCUAUAGUCUCUGGGUCUAGGGUGGACUUUUGAAAGAAUUGUUUUAUGCUCUCCAGAUACAUGCAUUACAGAUGUUUUAGACUGAUCACUUGUGAUAGCUGAGAUGCUUGGUGUGCUUAGGAUGAUCUCAAUAUUGUGUUUAAUAUCCUAUUUCUUUAGGCUUUUAUCUUUCAAAGUGGUGGGGCAGGGAUGGUCCCUAGCCUCUGUUUGCCAGAAGCUGGGAAUGGGCAACAGGGGAUGGAUCACUUGAUGAUUAUCUGUUCUGUUCGUUCCCUCUGGGGCAUCUGGCAUUGGCCUCUGUUGGAAGACAGGAUACUGGGCGAGAUGGACCUUUGGUCUGACCCAGUAUGGCUGUUCUUAUGUAUGUUCUCAUGAAUUCAGCUCUGUCAUCAUCUGGAAAGUGUUUAUGUGUAUGCAAGACUUUAAUGUCCCCUUAGGAGUCCGUUCUAAUACUUCUUGUUUUUGUUUGUUUCUCUGGCACGUAUUUUCCCCUCCCGUCCAGGCUUUCUACAUCUCAAGAGAGGAAGGUUGGUUUUGUGAUUUAAUACACUAGAUUGCAUCUGGGCUCAGUUUCUGACUCUGCCACUGAUUAUCCUGUGGAACCAGGGACAAAGUCAUUUAACUUCUCUGUUCUUCAGUUCUUCAUCUGCAAAGGGGGAUAAUCCAGGAAGAUUGUUGAGGGUAAACUCAGAUUCAAGCAAACUGGGGCAUGGGCUGUCUCUCGCCAUGGGUAUAUACAGUGGGUCUGAUCAUGGAGAGAGCCUAUAGGUGAUGCUACAAUAUGAUAAUGUUAGGAUGGUGUGCUGACUACACAAUACUUAGUAAAAAAAAAAAAAAAAUUGCAAGAUAUCUACAUAUUUACCAGCAUCUGGUCGUUCGACGGACUGUGCCCUUGAGUAUCAGUUUCAACUGUGCACUUGUUACAGAACCCUCAAGAUCUCGGGGAACCUGAGUGCAUGGCAUGAGCCUACUUUGUUUCUCUAACACACACAUCAAAGAACAGGGUUGGCGACCAGCUGCCCUUAGGGGGGCUGUAGAAGGCUGGUAAGAGAAGAUCCAGAAUGCGUUGAAGUAGUAGGGACCUCUGGAGGAAAGCUUACAGAAACUCAACAGGUUUCAGAGUCUCUAAGGUGCUACAAGGACUCCUCGUUGUUUUUGUAGAAACUCAAGAGGUUCUCUAGUUCUAUUUCAGAUUUUAUUUCAAACUUUAGAGCACAGAAAUGAGCUACCAUUAUGGACAAUGGUAUAAACAAUUAUACUGAGGAAAAUAUUAAAAAAAUUUAAAAGCAAUU